CCUCAUCCUUCCCAUCGGCCACAGGAUAAUCGCAUCCAGAUGUUUGCGAACCGGCUGCAUGCAGCAGAACAGAACCAGGUUCCAGCCAGGCCCAUGUAUGGUUAUGGUCAUUUAUCAUUUAUUUGCUUCUCGCGCUCCCUCCCUCGCCUUCUCCUCGGCUAUUCUUUAUUUAAAACGUGAUGGAGGAAAAAGGAAGCUGAAGCCACCGCCUUAUAUUUAGCUCAAAACCCUUUUUUUGGACCCUCGUCAGCACAAGAACCUCGUCAACCUGCAUGUGCUCGGUCGAAAAUGAAAGAAACAAGAAUUCUAUGGAUUCGAUUUCGAUUCCGACUUCUACAUGUUCCCGGUCCUCCUCGUGGUAUGUAUGAUAUAGGUUGCUGUCAAUGAUAGUAUCGAUACGUAUAUGGCUUGGCCCCUCUCGGCUUCCGGAACAUCCAACACACAGUAUAUAAUUACGAUCAUCCAGCAUCCAGCAUCUGGACAAUAGCCCGCCGCUCCAGAUUCCCGCUUCCAAGUUCCAGCUGUUCAGCUGGGGGCUCGUUACGUACUCGUCCUGCGCCGACGAUGCAGGUAGCCGUUCCACGCACAUGAUAAAAAUAACCAGAGCAGUGAUAAACCAAUGGCUACGUGCCCAUCCCCAUGCACCUGGGUAUUGGACAUGUACCUGUACGGAGUACAGUUAGAGUCAUAUCCGGAGUCGACUGGUUGAUUUCCCAUCAAUAAUCGGUUAUUAACCUUAAACGUACCCACGGGAUUCCGUCUGACUUGGGGUAGCCUUUAGUAAGUUAAACCAACUAACUAAUCAUAGCCAAUAGAGGAAGAGAAGAGAGCGGGUGAAAUGGUCCUUUUUUGGCGAGUGUUUUCCCCUCUUAACUUUGUACAGCGUAUACUUUAUAUAUAUGUACAGAUUAAGUUACUUCUUGAUCGGGCAGCCUGCCAUGGAUGCGGUGGCUCGGCUAGCAGAGCGCAAAAUGAA
RNAcentral lists this small RNA (976 nucleotides) under Histoplasma capsulatum var. duboisii H88. RNAcentral describes it as "Histoplasma capsulatum H88 hypothetical RNA". The record is from RNAcentral. Lineage: Eukaryota; Fungi; Ascomycota; Eurotiomycetes; Onygenales; Ajellomycetaceae.